Long non-coding RNA from Rhinolophus ferrumequinum (greater horseshoe bat), 2558 nucleotides. RefSeq lists it as uncharacterized. The transcript has 3 exons. NCBI's taxonomy places the organism in Eukaryota, Metazoa, Chordata, Mammalia, Chiroptera, Rhinolophidae. The record is from RefSeq and is a predicted model, not a curated record.
UUGUAGAAGCAUCGCUCCCGUCUCUGCCUAUCUUCACAUGGCUGUCCCCUCCUGUGUGUCUUUCCACUUCUUACAAAAACCCAGGUCAUAUGGGAUUAAGGGCACACCCUACCCAUGGUGACCUCAUCUUAAUUAAUUCCAUCUUUGACGACCCUCUCCAAAUAAGGACACGUUCCUGGACACUAAGGGCUAGGACUUCAACGUAUCCUUUUGGGGGACACAAUUCAACCCACAAGAACCAGGAAUUAGAACUGAAUGGGCUGAAAGGGAAGACUAUGCAUCAUGGAAGUAGUUUCUGUAGAAGCAGCCGCCACUCCAGGGUCUGGGGGACAAACACAAGGGGACAAACGUGUUAAAUCGUACAAGUGUGUGGAGUAUCUCUGUGGAUCGGCGACUCAGAUCUCUAAGGAGAUGCUAGUGUCCCUCAAGAGUCAUGAUGAGGCCGGGCUGUGAGCAGCACACUGAACACGGCAGCCACCGUUGCUACUGGAAUGGACUGUCACUGCCAGGUGACACUGACAGGAAGCCGGAGCAGGCUAGCGGGAGCAAGUGCUUCUUCCUGCUUCAACCUUCCAUCCCUGUGGAGCCCAUUGGCAGGACCAACCAGGAAGCCACCUGGCAGAGGAGAAGCGUGGUUCACAGAGACCCAGAUCACAGAGCAGAGCACAGAGAGGUGGGCUUGGGGCCCAGAGACUGUCACUUCUUCAGCCUUUUCUUCAGAUGGCUCAUCUCACCCAGCAGUUAACGGGUUGGACACGCGGAGAUUUGGCGCACAUGGGAUCAGCCAGCAUCCUCAGGUGUGGCGUCGUACAGCGCUCUGAUCCGCAUCCAGCAACGUGUGUCCUCGCUCUGAGGUGCUGCGUGCUUGGCCGGGCCAUCAGGCAUUGAGUCUCUGUUUUCAGGUGCUCAGCACAAAAACCGCAAUACAGAUGUGACAGCAGACCCUUCCAGCUGUCGGGAUGCUCCCCAGGUUACUGCCCUCCUCCAGGGCCUGAAGGUGGAGAGGUCGUGGAGCUGUGGGAGGAGGGAAGCUGUUGCUUCUUCUAAUGCUGGGAGUGAGUCAGCAGCAGAGCAAGUCUGGCAACUCAGCCCACCCAUGCUGUAGGGGCAUCGGCAGGAGCUCUGGGUUUGUCUGCACAGGGAACGGGGGUUUAUGGGGCCUUACUGGUGUGGCAAGGGGUAUCGUUCAGGGGCAGAGUAUUUGACCGCAGAUAAAGAGGCCCCCAGUUCAAAUCUGAGUGCUCCCUAGCACUCUAGUCACUAGAGGUGGGGAAGGACUUCCAGUUCCCUCUCUUCUUGCUGAAGCCUCACCUGGCCCCGUGCGUGCUCUCCAAUGUGAACUUGAUCUCCUGGCUGGGGGUGAGGCCUGUGUCUUCUGAAGGUCGCCAGAGAGAAUUCUGAGAUCACCUACAAAGGAACAAUGGUUGGACUGCGAGCAACUCUGCACAGGUGCGAAGGGAGCCAGAAGGUGGUGCGAUGACACAUUCCAUGUGCUGAGAGGACAGAAGUCAGCUCUGAAUUGUCUUCCAGCCAAACUGUUCUGCAGGAACAGACAAUGCUGAGAGCUUUCCUCCCAGAGACACUCACUAGGAAAACUGUAAAUAUACACUUUAAAGUAAAAUGAGCCCACAUGGGAAGUGUGAGAUACAAGAAGGAAAGUUGAACAAAGAAAUUGUAAGAGAUGGGUUAUACUGGAAACUCCAUAUGCGUAGUCAUUUUUCAAAGCCUAUGGUUAACCAGUAACUUCACCCUCCUUCUGGGUAACACACGCCUCUUAGAACAUUUUAAUGCCAUUUACUUCCCUCUCAACUUACAAGUUCUUUCUGGCUGCCUUCAGGAAGUUGUUACCCGCAAGGAAGCCAGCUACGGUGGAAAGAGCUGGAGUUUUAGAGUGAGAAUGACCUGGGUUUGGAUAUUGUUUCUACCAUCAUCUGCCAUGUUUAUGACACCAAGCAAGACAUUUGGACCCUUGGAACCUUAUCUGAAACAUCAGUGUAUAUAAGAAUUGCUGUACAGAGUUGUAUAAAACCACGUAUACUAUACUAUUGGAGCAAGUUAAUAGAUGUUCAAGGUAAUUUUGACUAUAGAUGAUUUUUGCCUAAUAUGCUGGCUUUAUGCUUAAUAGUUUGUCGGGAAAUAAUGCAGGACCAAGAUUAGGACUUGAGAGAAGAGAACCAACGAAACUUCCAGGUAGGGAGAAAGAGGUUCCUGUUAGCAUACUAGACAAUCUGAGGCUGAGAGACCUGAGAAGCAAAGCACAGAAAAAGAAUAAUAAAUGUGAAUGGAGAAAGACAAACAGGUAAAGUAAAUGUGUCAACCUCAGAAUUUCAGUGGCCAUUGGCAGUAAAAAUACAAAAUAAUUUCAACCUAUUUACAUCAUAUAAAUAUAAAAAUAUUUAAAUAUUUUAAAAAUAACAUCCAUAAUUUAAGUGUAGGUGGAUAAUAAUCACUUGGAAAUUGAUGAUGUACUUUAUAUGUUGAAAUGUUAACAGUGAAUUGAAGUAUAUGUUAUUGUAUUUUUAACAUUGCAAAACUAAAAUGCUACAGUAAUUAUUGAG